CCAGUGUUCCAGUGUAAUUCCCACACAAACCAAUCUCCAGCAAAAUUUCCAUGACUGUGUGGCUUGGUGUAAACAGCUCAGAGCAAGUGCUCUCUACACGUGUGCCCAUGCAAAUGUGCAGCCUUGUGGAGCGAGUCUUCUCACAUAGCUCCUUCCAGUACUGUGAGAACUAGUCCUCAUGGAGGAGACUUCCAGCUUGAAGUCUCAACCCCUCCAUCUCAGCAGCUGUUUCCUGGUCCAGCAGAUGUCAGCACACCACCUCUGUCCUCCAAGUCACCCCUGCCCUCUGGAAGACAGGUAUCACGACUGAGCCAGGGGCUGCUGAAACCCCUCUACAGAUGAAUCCUAUCUCUACUUCUUGGGCAUCGUAGCUGUAGCUGCCCUGGGUGUCCACGGUGAUGCUGGUGGAGCCUCCACAGACUGUUAUUUCAUGACUACAGGAUGGCUGUGGAACACUGUUAGUAUCUGAGCCCCCACGUGUGAGCUUAGGAGACAGCAUUUGUCUUUCUCUUCUGUGCUAGAUUUUACCAGAAGCUUUGUUUUGUUGUUGUUUUGAGAUAGAGUCUUACUGUCCAGCCCUGGCUGGACUAGAACUCACUGUAGACCAAGCUGGCUUCAAACUCAGAUUUGCCUACCUUUCCUUACUGACUUAAGGUGUA
This is a long non-coding RNA of Mus musculus (house mouse), 659 nucleotides long. RefSeq annotates it as predicted gene, 40423. Lineage: Eukaryota; Metazoa; Chordata; Mammalia; Rodentia; Muridae. The transcript has 3 exons. The record is from RefSeq and is a predicted model, not a curated record.